AAUCACUUUCAACCACAACAUUUUUCCCCUCUGUUUUUUAAGGACACUUGGAGGAAGCACAUUCUGAAGAAAAGGCAUCUACUUUAACAAAGAAAAUUUGUGGCACAAAGAAACCCUCAUUGCCAUCAGUUCAAAACGUACACUCAGAGGAAGAACCUCCUGAAGAAGGGGCAGCUAUUUCUAAAAACAAAAUGGGUGGCAUUAAUAAAUCCUCAUUGCAAUCAAUUAAAAAAGGAAAAUCCAGAAGGCCCUGGUCAAAGACUGAGGGAGACAUUGUUGAAAGCCAUUUCAAAGACUUCCUGAAAGAAAUGAAGAUGCCUGGAAAAGUGCACUGUCAGAGAUGCAUAGAUGAAAAUCAGAUUCUAAGGGAUAAUGACAGAGACUGGAAAGCUGUAAAAUACUGUAUGUACAACAAGAUAACAGCAAAGAGAAACAGGCUCCAAAAGUACUGAGAAUUAUACUGGACAUUUUGAGCAUCAAUGCUAGGAACCCAAAAAACCUACAUGUAUACCAAAGUACACAGAUACAAUUAA
Fundulus heteroclitus (mummichog) is the source of this 533-nucleotide long non-coding RNA. RefSeq lists it as uncharacterized. The record is from RefSeq and is a predicted model, not a curated record. NCBI's taxonomy places the organism in Eukaryota, Metazoa, Chordata, Actinopteri, Cyprinodontiformes, Fundulidae. The transcript is spliced from 3 exons.